GACCCAGUAGCGGACGCUCCGCGCCCGCGCCCUGUAACUCUUGACCCAGCGUGAUGCGGGAAUCCCUGGUUCGACUCCAGGCUGGGUCA
Molecule: non-coding RNA, 89 nt
Organism: Mycena rosella
Lineage: Eukaryota; Fungi; Basidiomycota; Agaricomycetes; Agaricales; Mycenaceae
Source: the annotation of a GenBank genome assembly